Long non-coding RNA from Brachypodium distachyon (stiff brome), 6385 nucleotides. RefSeq lists it as uncharacterized. The record is from RefSeq and is a predicted model, not a curated record. NCBI's taxonomy places the organism in Eukaryota, Viridiplantae, Streptophyta, Magnoliopsida, Poales, Poaceae. The transcript has 11 exons.
UUGAAGCACUGUGCUCGUCGGGGGGUUGGGCAGGGCUGGCCUCUUUCCUCGCUGUUUCGUUGGUGGGACCCGCGGGCUCUGUCGUUUCGUGAGAUAUCCCCGUCUUUCGCGAUUGCAGCCAGCGGCGGCGGCGGCCCCCUCGCCAAUCGGGAUUUCGUGGAGUUCGCCCAAGCGUGGCCUGCGGGAGAAUUCUGGUUCGUGGCGUGCGAUUAGGUGUAGAUACAAUCCAUAUGCAGGAUAGAUCAGCUCAAAAGGCUAGGACAUUAUGUGGAUAAGGUCAAGUUCAUCUUGAUAGGUGGGACUUUCAUGUCAUUACCGGCUGAUUAUCGUGAUUACUUCAUCAGAAAUCUUCAUGAUGCUUUAUCAGGGAAUACUUCUGCUAAUUUUGAGCAGGCGGUUUGUUAUUCGGAACAUAGUGCUGUCAAAUGCAUUGGUUUGACAAUUGAGUCGAGACCUGAUUAUUGCUUGGGGCCUCAUUUGCGGCAGAUGCUAUCUUAUGGCUGUACCCGCGUAGAAAUUUGUGUUCAAAUUCAGAUUACAUAUGAGGAUGUCGCACGUGACACAAACAGAGGCCACACAGUAGCUGCUGUUGCUGAUUGCUUUUCGUUAGCGAAAGAUGCUGGCUUUAGAUUUACCUAAUGUUGGAGUUGGAAGAGAUAUGGAAAGUUUUAGGGAUGUUUUUGGAAAUCCAGCAUUUCGAGCAGAUGGUCUAAGGAUCUACCCAAGUCUUGUGAUUCGUGGAAUUGGUCUUUAUGAGCUCUGGAAAACUGGAAGGAAACUAUCCACCUGAGCUAUUAGUGGAUGUUGUAGCAAGGAUUCUGUCGGUGGUAUCACCAUGGACACGGGUCUAUCGUGUCUAGAACGAUAUCCCAAUGCCACUUCUUAUCUCUGGUGUCAGGAAGGAUGCUGCCUAGUUUCUCUCGCCACAACUAGGAACCGAGGAGUUACUACUCUUCAAUGCAUACUGGGCCAAAUUAGAGUGUAAUAUUGGCAAAGAUCUAGCCGCAGGCCAUGGAGUUCGGGAAAAUGCUCUCGAGAAAAGAACUUCUGUCUGGAGUCGAGUUCGUUUGAUCAAAGGCACGGAUGGAAGAACCACCAUCACAAUGAACUGGGGAAAUUUCAUGCGUGCAGCCGCAAUAAAAAAAGGAGACAUCUUUGCUUUCAUUUUCACAGUCCGAUGCAACAAGCUGCGCCUCACGGUUAACCGCCUUAGCCACAUAGAUGGACGGUUAGUACAGACAUGUGUUCCAUCUUCAUGCAUUCAAAUAUUUUAAUUAACACAAUUGUCGGCUCUUUUAUUUAAUCUUUCAUGUGCAGAUUUGCGAAGAAUCUGAUCCACUUAAAUAAACUUGUGUUACCCAGCUAUGUCUUUUUGAAAUCCCCUGUCUAUAUAUGUGUGACCUGACUAAUCUCCUAGAAUUCGUUACAAACAAGAACUUUCUGUGCUACCAGGAAUGAAUAUGAAAAAGCAAAUACUUCUCGAGUAGGUACCCGUUGAUCCCCGCCAUCGGUUCUGAUGCUGAUCUUUCCAUUGUUCCACAUGAGAUAGCAGAAGAACAAUGGUAGUAAGAAGUUGAAGACAAAGCCCUGAAUGCAGCUACUGCUUCCAAUAAAGGCGAUUUAUUCUUAUGCAUCGCCAAUGUGAAGUUGAUGGUAUCUGUCUAAAUCUUCUACGUAGCUUCUUAUUUUGAUGUGUUGUUUCAUCGCGGGUGAUGUAGAUUGGAAUCAGCCUUGCGGGAAUGCGGUCUGCGCAUUGCCUGUACUUAUGACAGUAUGUUUGCACGCUCGUGUUAAAACUUAGUCAAUGGUGCUAUGCCAAGAACUUCCUUCUGAAGCAACUUUAGGCUCCGACAUGAUGCAGAAAUACUGUCGUAUUUUGUUGUUUAUAAAUGUUAUUCCUCUGAUCCUAAAUUCUUGACUUAAACUUUGCCCAAAUAUGGAUGUAUCUAUUCUUAAAAAGUGUCUAGAUACAUGUUAUAUUUCGACAACAAUUUAUGAUCGGAGUAUUUCAGUUUCUGCCUUCCUGGAUGCAUUGCAGGAUCAAGCAAGGCAAAUGAGCUCGCUUGGUCCAUAUGCUCAUAAACUAUUUCUGCUACUAUACUAAAAAAGUCAUUGAGAGCCUACUGACUGCUCCUCUGAGGCAUAAUUAGAUUUACCAACAUACGCUGCUGCUUGUCUAAGAUACUAUAUCGAUUCACAGUUUCAAAUGGAUAAUAACCAAUAUCACCCUGCUGCUCUUCUAAGAUACAUGAAUGAGCAAAAAUCAAGCUACACCAAGGAGCCUCAAGUUUCAUAAGAAGUGUGCCGAGAGCCCCCAGUUUUUUGUUUUGCACUGCAAGAAGCUGCAGCUGAUUUGGCAACCACGAGAUCACGCGUUCGCCCUCCCCUAUUUCGUAUUCCUCCCUCUGUCUCUCACAGCAACUCCUGAAGAAACCCUAAUCGGCGGUGUCGAUGGCAGGAGAAGUGCGGUGAUGGUGCGUUAGGACUGCUGCGACAACGAUGCACGGAAGGGAGGCUGUGGGUUGCCUUCCCACCUUUCAGUGCAGUGCAGGUCUCUUUGCUGCUCUUAGAAAUUACUACCAAGCCGCCGCCGCUCGCCAGCCAGAGCACUGCCGCCCCGCCCUAACCCCCUCACGGUAAAUCCCCUAACCACCACCAUCGUCCAGCUCUCUGCCGCCCGUCGACCUGCCGCCGUCACCCACCGGCCCACCCCUUCCGCCGCCCAUCUCCACCGACCCAAUUCUUGAUCUAAUUCGCUGGGUUUGUGUAAUUCUUGAUCUGCUUUAUUUGUUUUCCUGUUGAUUAAGGCCAUUGCCUCCAUUGAUGCGCAUGAACAACAUUGUGGUCCAAAUGUCCAAUGACGUUGACAAAGACCAAGCUGGUGGUGUAUGGACGGUGCACUUCAGCACUAUCUGGAGCACAUCCCCUUCUUCCUUGUCCCCUUUUAUGGUGGUACCAAACUACCAAUCCUUUCUUUAGCUCUUCGCCGAAGCCACUAUUUUAAUGCUUUUGAUCCGUAUGAUUUUUUUGGAUCAUGAACAAUUUGGCCUGAAUUGCAUACAGUUUACAAAGCCGCAAUGAAUAUGAAUUAUCAGGUAAUAUAUCUGCCAAGAGCUUCAAUUAGAAAUAGUUGAAUUUUUUGUGCAAAAAAAGAAGAAAUAGUUGAAUAUGAAAAUAGUUGAAUUUGAUCGUUUGGAUCUAAUAUCACGUUAUGCUUUCUUCUGAACAUGCACCCAUCAUUUUUGCUCUGCCGCAACCCAAAUUCUGCACUUAAUUUUUUCGGUAUCAUCUCAUUUGAGAUCCUUGACUGUUUUUUUAAUAGAAUUUGGGAUACAUGGAGAACAUGAUAUGCUGAAAAGCUUUUACCCUUCUAGUUAUUUUAGUCUUAGAACCAAGAUGUAUGUGUCUUUGCCAUUAAACUUUGAAUUUGGUAGUUGAUGUAUAGUUGACAUCGUGCAUAACAAGGGCAUGGUCUUAAUUUUUCUUGUUUACAUUCAAAAACAAUGGCAUGGUCUUAUCUAUUCUGCGGAUUGUGAGGAACAUACAAGUUUUCUUGUUUACAUUCAGGAUAACAAGUUAUGGAAUUUCUAAUGCGUUAUAAUGUCAAUUAUAGUAAAGUUGAUGCAUUUCUGUUCCAUCAGGAUGACUAUGCAAACUGAUCGAGCAUGUCAGAAUGUAGUGUUUAUUGGCUAUUAGUACAUCACAAUGGUGUAACUUAGUGCAUACAAAUACAUAUUUAUUCUUUCUUAAAUUGGGAUGUUGGAUGAUAUUAUCUUUAUAUUGCUACCUUAUUCCUUAUCCAAUGCUCAAUGCUUGCAUUAAUGGAAUGCAAUUAUGUUUACCUCAUUUUAUUACACUGACAUCAUGGUGCUGAACUUCAACUUUUGUUCUUUUGCUGCAAUGUAACCUUGCGUAGUACUUUGAUUUUACUUGCCUGAUUCCUGAAUUAUCCAAUCAGGUGGCAGGUGGCCCAAUAUAUAACAUAUAUGCUCAUGAUACUACGUGCUUUGGAGCUCAUAUCGGUACAUACAUGGUCAGCUGGGUUGGUUCCUUUUGUUCAUUCACAUAUUUUGCAAGAUCUUAGGAUCCAUUGUUUAACCAAAUCCUUCUAUUGAUUGUGUCGCCAUCUUCUCCUUGACACUGCACCACCUCCCUAUUCAUGGCUUAGUCGGUGGCUUACAACACCGGAACUUCAAUACUCCCUCUGUCUAACAAAGGAUGUCUCAACUUUGACUAAAUUUGUGCAUCUAUACACUAAGUCACAUCUAGGUGCAUCCAAAUUUUGACAAACUUGAGACAUCUUUUGUUGGACGGAGGGAGUAUUUGACUUUGAGCACCCUCUGAGCCCUCUCAGAGCAUCAGCCGUGUUGACCAUACGAUCUCAUCACACGGGCGUCCCUGGCCUUCAGAUCCGAUUGUUCUGCGGCCGCUGCUCCAGAAGAAAAAUCGGCGUUUGUCCAUGCCUCGCUCCCAAGGGCUGUGGCUGGAUUGUGGCAGCUGGGUGCUCGGGAGAAAAGAACAGAGCUGGCACAGGUCCCAUCAUACUUAUUAUAUUGUCUGCUUUUCAGUUAUUCUGAUUUAUGCUCUUUGACAGUGUUAACAUUAUGUAUGCCUUAUUGUUGAUAUCUAAUUGUCUUAAAAAAAAUCCAGUCAGCCUUUUUUUUUUCUCUUUGACAUUUUGUGUAAUCAAAUGAUGUUUGCACUCCAAAAUUUAGGUGGUAAGCUGGAAUUAAUCAACUAGAACAAUUAAUAGGGUUUACUUUAUACUAACAACUUAACAAGGCUUGUGUUUCUUUUGCUGGUGCAUUUUCAAUAUUUAUGUAUUAAAUUGCUAUUCGACUUGACAAUGUAGUUUGACAAAAUAGGAUGUGAUUUAUAUUUCCUUAUUAUUAUGUUUUAUUUAUGCUGUGCACUAUAGUGCUUUUGGGAAAAAAAUAUAAUGAAGCAUCAUUGGAAUUUUAUCAAACAAAUAAUAUGGUGGUGAUACAAGCAAUGGCAUGCCAAGCAUCACAGGUUUUACUCCACAUUCACUACAUGUUAUUAACCUUUAUUUCUUGUUCUUUUAGUUUGUCAUUUAGCCAUGUUCUAAUUUCACCAUCUUUCAUUUUUACAUGAUUCAGCCAUGUUAUCUUUAUUUGCAAUGAUAAUCAGAUUAACGUUGUCUUCUGUUAGCGCACUGUUCAAUACAAGAAUUGUGAUGGUAUGCUUUUAGCAUUCCUGUAAUCUCAUGCAGAGCUUAUUAUUCUGGUUGCUUGCCUUGGAUGUUCCUCUGUGUCGUAGAUGCCUAGAAGGAAGCAUAGGCUUAUUAUUUGUAGAUGCCAAAAUCGCCGCAGAUCACAGAGUUGCCACGGAUCGCUGUUUUUAUUGUGGGAAACUCAAGCGUUGCAUGGCAGUUAAUUCAGCGGCCAACAGAUCUGGGCGAAUUUGAAGGCCGCUCGGGCGCGCUUCGCUUAGCCACGGAUCGCUCUCCUUGGUUGCGGUGAAAAGAGAGAACGGCCCGGUAAACCGAAACGGAGGGAGUAUUGUACAGGAGUAGGCCAUCAGCAUAAGACAUGUGACUUAUGCCCUUCAGUUUUAUUCGAAGCAUUGUUUUUAAAAGGCGCCCCUAAAGCGUUGCCUAGGCGGCGCUUAGGCGUCAGAGCGGUCUCCAACACCGAAGUGUCGAUCUUGCCUUGGAGGGGCACGUGAGGCGUCCAGUGUGUCGAUUAGGCGUCAUAGGGCGAUGCCCAGGGCAAAUUGGAUGCCAUAUGCAGGUGCAGCAGCCUCCUGUGCGGAAAUUGAGCGCCCACAGGAAAUUGGGGAGAACUGGUAGCGGGUGGGAGAAUUGGAAGAAGUGUGGGGAGAGAGGGAGGCGCAGCUACCAGACAGCAGAUAAUCUAGAGAGAGCUUCUCUCUCCAGGCAGCGACCGGGCGGCGGGUCUCAGAUUCGCAGGCAGCAGGCCCGCAGCCACAGCUUACUCCUCCGGGCUGGGCCUCUCUGGCGCAGUUAUGUAUCCCCUCAUCUCUCUUCUCCUCCCCCUUCUUCCCGUGCCCUCCCAUGCUCUUCAAAUCACGGAAAUCACUAAUUAUGAUGCCUGAAAUCAUGGGCACGUAGAUCGUGGCGUAUUCCUAUCCUUAAGAUGCUACCUAUCAAUCAUGGUUAGUUACCAAUGUAUUUCAUACAUAUGAAUAGAGACAAUUUCGACGAAAGUUCGAAUUUGCCAGGGGUACAAAAGGAAUGAAAAUGAAUUCAUAAAACAUUCUUAUAAAAAAAUUAUGAAGUACUAGAAUUCUAUAACUACCAAGAAACUUUCAGUCUAUUCAUUGGAAUAGUUUAUUUAGUUAAUAAGUUUUUGGUACGGAGAAAUAAAAGCAACAGUUCGAGUAGUAUCUACAAAUAUUACUG